Molecule: ribosomal RNA, 501 nt
Filed under: uncultured bacterium
Lineage: Bacteria
Description: partial 16S ribosomal RNA
Rfam family: Bacterial small subunit ribosomal RNA
Source: RNAcentral
GAUGAACGCUAGCGGCAGGCUUAAUACAUGCAAGUCGAGGGGCAGCACAGAUAGCAAUAUUGGGUGGCGACCGGCAAACGGGUGCGGAACACGUACACAACCUUCCUUUUAGUGUGGGAUAGCCCAGAGAAAUUUGGAUUAAUACCACAUAGUAUAUUGGAGUGGCAUCACUUUGAUAUUAAAGAUUUAUCGCUAAAAGAUGGGUGUGCGUAUGAUUAGGUAGUUGGUAGAGGUAACGGCUCACCAAGCCUUCGAUCAUUAACUGGUGUGAGAGCACGACCAGUCACACGGGCACUGAGACACGGGCCCGACUCCUACGGGAGGCAGCAGUAAGGAAUAUUGGUCAAUGGACGGAAGUCUGAACCAGCCAUGCCGCGUGAAGGAUGACGGCCCUCUGGGUUGUAAACUUCUUUUAUGUGGGACGAAAAAGGGCCAUUUUUGGUCAACUGACGGUACCAUAGGAAUAAGCACCGGCUAACUCCGUGCCAGCCGCCGCAGUAA